GUCCACGCCGUAAACGAUGAUAACUAGCUGUCCGGACACUUGGUGUCUGGGUGGCGCAGCUAACGCAUUAAGUUAUCCGCCUGGGGAGUACGGUCGCAAGAUUAAAACUCAAAGGAAUUGACGGGGGCCUGCACAAGCGGUGGAGCAUGUGGUUUAAUUCGAAGCAACGCGCAGAACCUUACCAGCGUUUGACAUGGAUAGUUUGGUUUCCAGAGAUGGAUUCCUUCAGUUCGGCUGGCUAUCACACAGGUGCUGCAUGGCUGUCGU
RNAcentral lists this ribosomal RNA (267 nucleotides) under uncultured bacterium. RNAcentral describes it as "partial 16S ribosomal RNA". It matches the Rfam family "Bacterial small subunit ribosomal RNA", at positions 793 to 1055 of the family's 1533-position model. The record is from RNAcentral.